This is a non-coding RNA of Kogia breviceps (pygmy sperm whale), 238 nucleotides long. Lineage: Eukaryota; Metazoa; Chordata; Mammalia; Artiodactyla; Physeteridae. The record is from RefSeq and is a predicted model, not a curated record.
CGCAGCACGUCCGGGUAGCGGCCCUCUCGGCCACUCUGCAGAGUUUGGUAUUCAGUCGGUCCAGAAGCUGACUCUCGCAUACCUCACAAGAGUAUUUAACAAGAAGGCAGAGUUUAAGUGGCUCAAAGCCAUCAUCAGGAAAUAUCAUCAGGUCAUGGCUGCGCUGGGUCUUCACUGCGGCACGUGGGCUGUUCGUUGCAGGAUCCUCUCUAGUUGUGGUGCACGGGCUCAGUAGUUG